Molecule: ribosomal RNA, 460 nt
Filed under: uncultured bacterium
Lineage: Bacteria
Description: partial 16S ribosomal RNA
Rfam family: Bacterial small subunit ribosomal RNA
Source: RNAcentral
CCUACGGGUGGCUGCAGUGAGGAAUAUUGGUCAAUGGGCGGAAGCCUGAACCAGCCAAGUAGCGUGCAGGAUGACGGCCCUACGGGUUUUAAACUGCUUUUAUACGGGAAUAACGCGCCUUACGUGUAGGGCUUUGCAUGUACCGUAUGAAUAAGGACCGGCUAAUUCCGUGCCAGCAGCCUCGGUAAUACGGAGGGUCCGGGCGUUAUCCGGAUUGAUUGGGUUUAACGGGAGCUGAGGCCGCAUGGCAAGCGUGCUGUGAAAUGUCCGGGCUCACCCCGGGCCUGGCAGCGCGAACUGGCGUGCUUGAGUCCGCGGAAAGCAGGCGGAAUUCGUCGUGUAGCGGUGAAAUGCUUAGAUAUGACGAAGAACACCGAUUGCGAAGGCAGCUUGCUGCAGCGGAACUGACGCUGAUGCUCGAAAGCGCGGGUAUCGAACAGGAUUAGAUACCCGAGUAGUC